This 73-nucleotide transfer RNA is filed under the name Muribaculaceae bacterium. Its description in RNAcentral is "tRNA-Gln". It matches the Rfam family "tRNA". From Rfam's summary of the family: Transfer RNA (tRNA) molecules are approximately 80 nucleotides in length. Their secondary structure includes four short double-helical elements and three loops (D, anti-codon, and T loops). The record is from RNAcentral. Lineage: Bacteria; Pseudomonadati; Bacteroidota; Bacteroidia; Bacteroidales; Muribaculaceae.
UGUCCUGUGGUGUCAAUGGUCAGCACGUCAGAUUUUGGCUCUGAAGGUUCCAGUUCAACUCUGGAUGGGGCGA